GCGUUGAUUGAAUUGUUUUAUAGCUCUCAGAAAUGUGAUACUCUUUCUUUGACUAUCAUUUUAUAUAAAAUGUUUUCGUUGUAUUUUUAGCGAAAAAGUUAAAUUAGUUAUUCCGUUUCUUUCAAACUUAAACUGAAAAAAAUUAUAUACACAAAAAUAAUAAUUUAAAAAUAUGAUUUUUAGAACGAAAUUAAUUCAAACGAGUUAAAGAUGAAAUCAGAUCGAUGAAGACGAGUAUGAAGUAAAAAAGUUGGUGAAGAGCGGAACUGUCUUUCAUGAACAUUGGAUAAAAAGGAAAAUCUAUAUUUGAUACAAAUGUGCAUGUGUUCAUGGAUUGAAUAAAAUUUAAUAUAUCUGGCAAAACAGGGUAAGACUGCUGCCGUUCAAUAUCGGAAAGCAUCAUAGUUGGAUUCUAAAGGCAGAGACAAGAUAAAAUUUUCCUAGCCCGAAUAUAUAUCAGCAAUAUAUGCAGCAGGUUUUAAGGGUUUGGAAUAUGAAGCUUAUCUUAAGAAUAUUGAAGAAAUUUUUGAGCCUCAACAAAGGAUGCAAUAUAUCACAAAAUUUUGCAAUAUUAAUCUUUAAAUGGCACAUACCAGCUGAGAAAAUUCCUUAGAUCUAUGAAAUCCCUAAGACUUCAACGUGCGUUAAAUAGUUUUAUUAAGCACAUAUUGAAAUUCAAUAGCAUUUAUAAACAAAGUUCUUGCAAGUUGCUCGGUUUGGCAGACACACUCGUCUCGUCUGUCCGUCAUAACGGUUGUCGCAAAGUUACCGAAACGUAGGAGGUAAAACGAGUAAAUGCGAAAAUCUUAGAUAUCGA
This is a long non-coding RNA of Danaus plexippus (monarch butterfly), 817 nucleotides long. RefSeq lists it as uncharacterized. The transcript is spliced from 4 exons. Lineage: Eukaryota; Metazoa; Arthropoda; Insecta; Lepidoptera; Nymphalidae. The record is from RefSeq and is a predicted model, not a curated record.